AUUAGGGUUCACCAGGAGUGGAUAAACGGCCAAUGGAUUUGCUCCAAUUGAUCAAUUUACGUUUCAAUUGAUGAAUUCGUGCAAGGAAUCGUGGAUAGAUUUCUUGUUGUGGGUUUUAAUUUGAAUCUGUUAGAGAAUGGAAGAUGUGAACUGUGUCUUUUGUUGUUUAUACAUUUAAUUGUACUUCCAUUUGCUUAUUCUGCUGAUUCAA
This 211-nucleotide long non-coding RNA is filed under the name Phaseolus vulgaris (common bean). RNAcentral's name for it is "long non-coding RNA (PVUL_LNC003592)". Lineage: Eukaryota; Viridiplantae; Streptophyta; Magnoliopsida; Fabales; Fabaceae. The record is from RNAcentral.